This 672-nucleotide ribosomal RNA is filed under the name Wolfiporiella dilatohypha. RNAcentral's name for it is "LSU rRNA". It matches the Rfam family "Eukaryotic large subunit ribosomal RNA", at positions 40 to 686 of the family's 3401-position model. The record is from RNAcentral. Lineage: Eukaryota; Fungi; Basidiomycota; Agaricomycetes; Polyporales; Laetiporaceae.
AUAUCAAUAAGCGGAGGAAAAGAAACUAACGAGGAUUCCCCUAGUAACUGCGAGUGAAGCGGGAAAAGCUCAAAUUUAAAAUCUGGCGGUCUCUGGCCGUCCGAGUUGUAGUCUGGAGAAGCGUCUUCGACGCCGGACCGUGUACGAGUCCCUUGGAACAGGGCAUCAUAGAGGGUGAGAAUCCCGUCCAUGACACGGACCGCCGGCGGUUUGUGAUGCGCUCUCGAAGAGUCGAGUUGUUUGGGAAUGCAGCUCAAAAUGGGUGGUAAAUUCCAUCUAAAGCUAAAUACUGGCGAGAGACCGAUAGCGAACAAGUACCGUGAGGGAAAGAUGAAAAGCACUUUGGAAAGAGAGUUAAACAGUACGUGAAAUUGCUGAAAGGGAAACGCUUGAAGUCAGUCGCGUCGGCCGGGGCUCAGCCUUGCUUUUCUGCUCGGUUUACUUCCCGGUUCGACGGGCCAGCGUCGAUUUCGAUCGUCGGAGAAGGGUCAGAGGAAAGUGGCACCCUCGGGUGUGUUAUAGCCUUUGGUCGGAUGCGGCGGUCGGGAUCGAGGAACGCGGCACGCCUUUAAUGGCCGGGGCAUUCGUGCCCACGUAUCGUGCUUAGGAUGCUGGCGUAAUGGCUUUAAACGACCCGUCUUGAAACACGGACCAAGGAGUCUAACGUGCCUG